This 382-nucleotide unclassified non-coding RNA is filed under the name uncultured bacterium. RNAcentral's name for it is "contains 16S-23S intergenic spacer region". The record is from RNAcentral.
UCCGAGUUGACCCCGGCAGUCUCCCAUGAGUCCCCGGCAUAACCCGCUGGCAACAUGGAACGAGGGUUGCGCUCGUUGCGGGACUUAACCCAACAUCUCACGACACGAGCUGACGACAGCCAUGCAGCACCUGUGUCCAGGUUCCCUUUCGGGCACCCCUCCAUCUCUGGAGGGUUCCUGGCAUGUCAAGGGUAGGUAAGGUUUUUCGCGUUGCAUCGAAUUAAACCACAUGCUCCACCGCUUGUGCAGGCACCCGUCAAUUCCUUUGAGUUUUAGCCUUGCGGCCGUACUCCCCAGGCGGGGCGCUUAAUGCGUUAGCUGCGGCACGGAACCCGUGGAAUGGAUCCCACACCUAGCGCCCAACGUUUACGGCGUGGACUAC